Molecule: non-coding RNA, 127 nt
Organism: Acanthosepion pharaonis
Lineage: Eukaryota; Metazoa; Mollusca; Cephalopoda; Sepiida; Sepiidae
Source: the annotation of a GenBank genome assembly
UUACGGCCAUAUCAUGUUUAAACACCGGAUCCUGUCCGAUCACCAAAUUUAAUCGAGCAUCGAAGCUAACGUCAUGCCUGGUCAGUACCUCGAUGGGUGACCGUAUGGGAUUACCAGGUGAUGUAAU